This 449-nucleotide ribosomal RNA is filed under the name uncultured bacterium. Its description in RNAcentral is "bacterial SSU rRNA". It matches the Rfam family "Bacterial small subunit ribosomal RNA", at positions 354 to 796 of the family's 1533-position model. The record is from RNAcentral.
GUCGAGAAUUUUUCACAAUGGGCGCAAGCCUGAUGGAGCGACGCCGCGUGGGGGAUGAAUGGCUUCGGCCCGUAAACCCCUGUCAAUCGGGAGCAAGGCGUCCGGCCUAAUACGUCGGACGUUGAUAGUACCGGAAGAGGAAGGGACGGCUAACUCUGUGCCAGCAGCCGCGGUAAUACAGAGGUCCCAAGCGUUGUUCGGAUUCACUGGGCGUAAAGGGUGCGUAGGCGGCCGGGUCAGUCUGAUGUGAAAUCUCGGAGCUCAACUCCGAAACGGCAUUGGAUACUAUUCGGCUGGAGGUUGGGAGGGGGGACUGGAAUUCUCGGUGUAGCAGUGAAAUGCGUAGAUAUCGAGAGGAACACCAGUGGCGAAGGCGAGUCCCUGGACCAAUCCUGACGCUGAGGCACGAAAGCCAGGGGAGCAAACGGGAUUAGAAACCCCUGUAGUCC